RNAcentral lists this long non-coding RNA (342 nucleotides) under Homo sapiens (human). RNAcentral's name for it is "HSALNT0015971". Lineage: Eukaryota; Metazoa; Chordata; Mammalia; Primates; Hominidae. The record is from RNAcentral.
CAAGCUUUUCUUCUUUUCUUACCUUGUCCCUUCCUGUUGUUUCCUCUGCAGCUGAACAGGUGGCAGCUGGCCUACCAUGGGCUACUGCUCUGAGGACCAGCCCCUCACUGGGCCUCCCAACUCCUGGGAUUCAUCUGCCUCCUCUUCAGUGUGAGUCAGGCACCUGUGCAGUGCAUCUCCAAGCUGUAUCAAAGAACCAGGGACAAAAGAGAAAGAACAAAUGGCCACUCUGAGAGUGCAUUACAUGUGAGAAGCACAGUACAGAUAGCCAAGAUGGCCGAAUAGGAACAGCUCCAGUCUACAGCUCCAAGCAUGAGUGGCGCAGAAGAUGGGUGAUUUCUG